UCACGCUCUACCACUUCUGAGGUUAUCUUCAAAGAUGCCAUGACCAAAGAAAUUUGUAGAGGAUCUGGAAACUGGGUUCCUUCUUCAGGCUGGGAUGUGAUAGCUUGUACUCUAGCAGCAAUCUUGUUACCACCAUGAAGCAACUGAUGGAAAAGUGAGACACAACACCAGGAGCCUGGGUCGCUGAUGACAGGAGGUAGGUCAGCUGUCUCUCCCGG
Long non-coding RNA from Neomonachus schauinslandi (Hawaiian monk seal), 218 nucleotides. RefSeq lists it as uncharacterized. The record is from RefSeq and is a predicted model, not a curated record. NCBI's taxonomy places the organism in Eukaryota, Metazoa, Chordata, Mammalia, Carnivora, Phocidae. The transcript is spliced from 3 exons.